This 465-nucleotide ribosomal RNA is filed under the name Vreelandella stevensii. RNAcentral's name for it is "partial 16S ribosomal RNA". It matches the Rfam family "Bacterial small subunit ribosomal RNA", at positions 338 to 795 of the family's 1533-position model. The record is from RNAcentral. Lineage: Bacteria; Pseudomonadati; Pseudomonadota; Gammaproteobacteria; Oceanospirillales; Halomonadaceae.
CCUACGGGUGGCUGCAGUGGGGAAUAUUGGACAAUGGGGGGAACCCUGAUCCAGCCAUGCCGCGUGUGUGAAGAAGGCCCUCGGGUUGUAAAGCACUUUCAGUGAGGAAGAACGCCUGGUGGUUAAUACCCAUCAGGAAAGACAUCACUCACAGAAGAAGCACCGGCUAACUCCGUGCCAGCAGCCGCGGUAAUACGGAGGGUGCGAGCGUUAAUCGGAAUUACUGGGCGUAAAGCGCGCGUAGGUGGCUUGAUAAGCCGGUUGUGAAAGCCCCGGGCUCAACCUGGGAACGGCAUCCGGAACUGUCAAGCUAGAGUGCAGGAGAGGAAGGUAGAAUUCCCGGUGUAGUGGUGAAAUGCGUAGAGAUCGGGAGGAAUACCAGUGGCGAAGGCGGCCUUCUGGACUGACACUGACACUGAGGUGCGAAAGCGUGGGUAGCAAACAGGAUUAGAUACCCUUGUAGUC